This 492-nucleotide ribosomal RNA is filed under the name uncultured bacterium. RNAcentral describes it as "partial 16S ribosomal RNA". It matches the Rfam family "Bacterial small subunit ribosomal RNA", at positions 29 to 507 of the family's 1533-position model. The record is from RNAcentral.
AGUGAACGCUGGCGGUAGGCCUAACACAUGCAAGUCGAACGGCAGCACAGUAAGAGCUUGCUCUUACGGGUGGCGAGUGGCGGACGGGUGAGGAAUACAUCGGAAUCUACUUUUUCGUGGGGGAUAACGUAGGUAAACUUACGCUAAUACCGCAUACGACCUACGGGUGAAAGCAGGGGAUCUUCGGACCUUGCGCGAUUGAAUGAGCCGAUUUCGGAUUAGCUAGUUGGCGGGGUAAAGGCCCACCAAGGCGACGAUCCGUAGCUGGUCUGAGAGGAUGAUCAGCCACACUGGAACUGAGACACGGUCCAGACUCCUACGGGAGGCAGCAGUGGGGAAUAUUGGACAAUGGGCGCAAGCAUGAUCCAGCCAUACCGCGUGGGUGAAGAAGGCCUUCGGGUUGUAAAGCCCUUUUGUUGGGAAAGAAAAGCAGCAGGUUAAUACCCCGCUGUUCUGACGGUACCCAAAGAAUAAGCACCGGCUAACUUCGUG